RNAcentral lists this ribosomal RNA (484 nucleotides) under uncultured bacterium. RNAcentral describes it as "partial 16S ribosomal RNA". It matches the Rfam family "Bacterial small subunit ribosomal RNA", at positions 30 to 507 of the family's 1533-position model. The record is from RNAcentral.
AUUGAACGCUGGCGGCAUGCUUUACACAUGCAAGUCGAACGGCAGCGCGGUCUUCGGUCUCUCUGCGAGUGGCGAACUGGUGAGUAAUACAUCGGAACGUGCCCAUCUGUUUUGUAUUGCUCGACGACAUCCGGAUUAAUACCCCAUUCGCCCUUACGGCGAAAGCGUGGGAUCUUCGGACCUCCCGCUCUUGGACGGUCCGAUGGCAGAUUAGCUAGUUGGCGGGGUAAAGGCCUACCAAGGCGACGAUCCGUAGCUGGUCUGAGAGGAUGACCAGCCACACUGGAACUGAGACACGGCCCAGACUCCUACGGGAGGCAGCAGUGGGGAAUAUUGGGCAAUGGGCGAAAGCCUGAUCCAGCAAUGCCGCGUGUGUGAAGAAGGCCUUCGGGUUGUAAAGCACUUUUGGUGGGAAAGAAAAGGAGUAGGCCAAUACCCCGGUUUGAUGACGGUACCCAAAGAAUAAGCACCGGCUAACUACGUG